AGGAAAUCAGGUUGGUCAAGCAGGACUUGCCCUUCAUGAACCCAUGCUGGCUAGGCCUGAUCCCCCGGUUGUCCCACACAUGCCGUGUGAUCUCCCUCAAGACAAUCUGCUCCAGAAUCUUCCCUGACACACAGGUCAGGCUAACAGGCCUGUAGUUCCCCGGAUCCUCGCUGCAGACCUUCUUGUAGAUGGGAGUCACAUUGGAAAGCCUCCAGUUUUCUGGGACCUCACCCGUCAACAAGGAGCGCUGAUAGGUGAUGGAAAGUGGCUCGGCUAUCACCUCCGCC
Molecule: long non-coding RNA, 287 nt
Filed under: Gallus gallus (chicken)
Lineage: Eukaryota; Metazoa; Chordata; Aves; Galliformes; Phasianidae
Source: RNAcentral